This 1227-nucleotide long non-coding RNA is filed under the name Mus musculus (house mouse). RNAcentral's name for it is "predicted gene 45334". Lineage: Eukaryota; Metazoa; Chordata; Mammalia; Rodentia; Muridae. The record is from RNAcentral.
ACAAACAAACAAACGAGUCAAAGAAGCACACAUUCUACUCUCCAACAAAGGUCACAAAGACAGAUGAAGGAUCUGGAGACAGCUGUGUAAACAGUUGUACCUGGCUGAAGUUCUGUGUCUCAGUACAUCUGUCCGUCAAAACAGAAGACACAUGGACACACACACAAACACACACACAUUAAAAAAGAGGCCAUGAAUUUAAGAACAAGCAAAGAGAAGUGCAGGGAAACUCACUGCAAGGACAAUACUCAGCCAGCCAAGGACUGUCCCAGCUGAGCAUGCCAGAGAGAGGCACUCCAGACCUUUCUAGAAGCAUCCAGUACAGCCGAGAGCCUGAACAGUCACCUCCAUAAUGCAUUGAAUCACUGAUCCCCGAGUUGCCUCCUUGGCAGCCCCCUCAUGUGUUGGGGCCACACCUUCAGCUGUUGUUCUGAGUCGUCCACUUCCUCCCUCUCAGGGUAUCCUGAUGCUGCUGCACACUGGACAGGUGAUUCCAAAACCAGCCAAGUUGCCCGGAAGAUGAAUACCUUGAUGUGUGUUUGGAUAACACAUGAACAGAGUUCCUGAGUUCCUUCCGUAAGUUCUGUGUGGAGAAUCUGCUGCAAACAGAGAAAGGGGGUACUUGUCACUUCUUGUAUUAUGGGCAGAAAGCCAAGCAGCAUCAAAUCCCCAUGUGCUCCAAAUCCUUGGCAACAGCCACUUGGAGAUCCUGCUCAUUCUACAUCAUGCAUCGUUCUGGAACUAAAGAUGCCCUCAGAGGUUGCUCAGCCUGAAACAUGGAGCUAGCAAGAAGGAGCUUGCACAGUGACCUGUCAGCACUACCAUCGGCACUUUGGACAACACCUCUAGGUGUGACAGUUAGGCCAGAGGAGCAGCUGAACUAAUACACAUUGAAAGGAGAUGUUUGGGGAUAUGAGAGGCCACAGGGCAACUGAGUCCCCCUUGGUCAUAAUUAGCCCUGAUCUCUUUGGAGGAGCCUUAAGUCCAUUCUCACUUCAUCGCAAGUAAACCUCAUCUCAGUGAGUGGCCUGCCCUUAAGAUAAGAAAGAAAACCACAAUGAAGACAAAUAGAAGGAUCCAGACAACACCAUUAAGGACUGGUUGGACACCAUCGCCUGAUCAGAGCUCUGCACUUGAGGUGUCUCUGUCCUUACUGGAGAGGGAGAGUGGCAAGUGUUGGCUAGGUGUUCAAGGCACAGCAUUGGCUGGCGCAACAGGAAAUUCCUG